RNAcentral lists this transfer RNA (68 nucleotides) under Perkinsus marinus ATCC 50983. It matches the Rfam family "tRNA". Rfam says of the family: Transfer RNA (tRNA) molecules are approximately 80 nucleotides in length. Lineage: Eukaryota; Perkinsozoa; Perkinsida; Perkinsidae. The record is from Rfam by way of RNAcentral.
GCCUCGGUAGCCGGCAGAGCGCGUGCCUUUUAAGCCCGUGGCCGCGGGUUCGAGCUCCGCCCGAGGUG